GAUGAACGCUAGCUACAGGCUUAACACAUGCAAGUCGAGGGGAAACGAUAGAGAAAGCUUGCUUUUUCUAGGCGUCGACCGGCGCACGGGUGAGUAACGCGUAUCCAACCUGCCCAUCACUUGGGGAUAACCUUGCGAAAGUAAGACUAAUACCCAAUGACGUCUCUAGAAGACAUCUGAAAGAGAUUAAAGAUUUAUCGGUGAUGGAUGGGGAUGCGUCUGAUUAGCUUGUUGGCGGGGUAACGGCCCACCAAGGCGACGAUCAGUAGGGGUUCUGAGAGGAAGGUCCCCCCACAUUGGAACUGAGACACGGUCCAAACUCCUACGGGAGGCAGCAGUGAGGAACAUUGGGUCAAUGGACGAGAGUCUGAACCAGCCAAGUAGCGUGCAGGAAGACGGCCCUAUGGGUUGUAAACUGCUUUUAUAAGGGAAUAAAGUGAGUCUCGUGAGACUUUUUGCAUGUACCUUAUGAAUAAGGACCGGCUAAUUCCGUGCCAGCAGCCGCGGU
Molecule: ribosomal RNA, 508 nt
Filed under: uncultured bacterium
Lineage: Bacteria
Description: bacterial SSU rRNA
Rfam family: Bacterial small subunit ribosomal RNA
Source: RNAcentral